Molecule: ribosomal RNA, 649 nt
Filed under: uncultured marine bacterium
Lineage: Bacteria
Description: bacterial SSU rRNA
Rfam family: Bacterial small subunit ribosomal RNA
Source: RNAcentral
GGGGGUGCUUGCACCCCGCUGACGAGCGGCGGACGGGUGAGUAAUGCUUAGGAAUCUGCCCAGUAGUGGGGGACAACAGUCGGAAACGGCUGCUAAUACCGCAUACGCCCUACGGGGGAAAGCAGGGGAUCUUCGGACCUUGCGCUAUUGGAUGAGCCUAAGUCGGAUUAGCUAGUUGGUGGGGUAAAGGCCUACCAAGGCGACGAUCCGUAGCUGGUCUGAGAGGAUGAUCAGCCACAUCGGGACUGAGACACGGCCCGAACUCCUACGGGAGGCAGCAGUGGGGAAUAUUGGACAAUGGGGGCAACCCUGAUCCAGCCAUGCCGCGUGUGUGAAGAAGGCUUUCGGGUUGUAAAGCACUUUCAGCGAGGAGGAAGGCCUUAAAGUUAAUACCUUUAAGGAUUGACGUUACUCGCAGAAGAAGCACCGGCUAACUCCGUGCCAGCAGCCGCGGUAAUACGGAGGGUGCAAGCGUUAAUCGGAAUUACUGGGCGUAAAGCGCGCGUAGGUGGUUUGGUAAGCGAGAUGUGAAAGCCCCGGGCUUAACCUGGGAACGGCAUUUCGAACUGUCAGACUAGAGUGUGGUAGAGGGUAGUGGAAUUUCCUGUGUAGCGGUGAAAUGCGUAGAUAUAGGAAGGAACACCAGUGG